GAUACCCCAGGUCAGGCGGGGCCACCCGCCGAGUUUAAGCAUAUCAAUAA
This 50-nucleotide ribosomal RNA is filed under the name Calliscirpus brachythrix. Its description in RNAcentral is "partial 26S ribosomal RNA". The record is from RNAcentral. Lineage: Eukaryota; Viridiplantae; Streptophyta; Magnoliopsida; Poales; Cyperaceae.